Molecule: ribosomal RNA, 406 nt
Filed under: uncultured bacterium
Lineage: Bacteria
Description: partial 16S ribosomal RNA
Rfam family: Bacterial small subunit ribosomal RNA
Source: RNAcentral
AUUGAACGCUGGCGGCAGGCCUAACACAUGCAAGUCGAACGAGUGGCGGACGGGUGAGUAAUGUGUGGGAAACUGCCUGCUGGCGGGGGAUAACAACUGGAAACGGUAGCUAUUACCGCAUACCAUCGGAUGUGCCCACAGGGGAUUAGCUAGUGGGUGGGGUAAAGGCUCACCUAGGCGCCGAUCCCUAGCUGGGCUGAGAGGAUGACCAGCCACACUGGAACUUAGACACGGUCCAGACUCCUACGGGAGGCAGCAGUGGGGAAUAUUGCACAAUGGGCGAAAGCCUGAUGCAGCCAUGCCGCGUGUGUGAAGAAGGCCUUCGGGUUGUAAAGUACUUUCAGCGGGGAGGCGUUACCCGCAGAAGAAGCACCGGCUAACUCCGUGCCAGCAGCCGCGGUAAUUC